GGCUGUUCGCCCAUUAAAGAGGCACGCGAGCUGGGUUCAGAACGUCGUGAGACAGUUCGGUCCCUAUCCACCGUGGGCGCAGGAGAUUUGAGAGGAUCUGUCCUUAGUACGAGAGGACCGGGAUGGACAGACCGCUGGUGUACGAGUUGUUCCGCCAGGAGCAGAGCUCGAUAGCUACGUCUGGAAAGGAUAAGCGCUGAAGGCAUCUAAGCGCGAAGCCAACCUCAAGAUGAGAUCUCCUUGUCGCAAGAUGGAAGAGACCUUGUAGAAAAGAAGGUAGAUAGGUCAGGGGUGUAAGUGUGGCAACACAUUAAGCUGACUGAUACUAAUGACUCGAAAGCUUGACCA
Molecule: ribosomal RNA, 348 nt
Filed under: Gallicola sp.
Lineage: Bacteria; Bacillati; Bacillota; Tissierellia; Tissierellales; Peptoniphilaceae
Description: partial 23S ribosomal RNA
Rfam family: Bacterial large subunit ribosomal RNA
Source: RNAcentral